RNAcentral lists this ribosomal RNA (253 nucleotides) under uncultured bacterium. Its description in RNAcentral is "partial 16S ribosomal RNA". It matches the Rfam family "Bacterial small subunit ribosomal RNA", at positions 524 to 776 of the family's 1533-position model. The record is from RNAcentral.
UACAGAGGUCCCAAGCGUUGUUCGGAUUCACUGGGCGUAAAGGGUGCGUAGGCGGUCGGGUAAGUCUGAUGUGAAAUCUCACAGCUUAACUGUGAAACUGCAUUGGAUACUAUCCGGCUCGAGGAAUGGAGGGGAGACUGGAAUACUUGGUGUAGCAGUGAAAUGCGUAGAUAUCGGGAGGAACACCUGUGGUGUAGACGGCUAUCUAGACGGCCACUGACGCUGAGACACGAAAGCGUGGGUAGCAAACAGG